GAUGAACGCUGGCGGCGUGCCUAAUACAUGCAAGUCGAGCGAACGGACGAGAAGCUUGCUUCUCUGAUGUUAGCGGCGGACGGGUGAGUAACACGUGGAUAACCUACCUAUAAGACUGGGAUAACUGCGGGAAACCGCAGCUAAUACCGGAUAAUAUUUUGAACCGCAUGGUUCAAAAGUGAAAGACGGUCUUGCUGUCACUUAUAGAUGGAUCCGCGCUGCAUUAGCUAGUUGGUAAGGUAACGGCUUACCAAGGCAACGAUGCAUAGCCGACCUGAGAGGGUGAUCGGCCACACUGGAACUGAGACACGGUCCAGACUCCUACGGGAGGCAGCAGUAGGGAAUCUUCCGCAAUGGGCGAAAGCCUGACGGAGCAACGCCGCGUGAGUGAUGAAGGUCUUCGGAUCGUAAAACUCUGUUAUUAGGGAAGAACAUAUGUGUAAGUAACUGUGCACAUCUUGACGGUACCUAAUCAGAAAGCCACGGCUAACUACGUG
This 497-nucleotide ribosomal RNA is filed under the name uncultured bacterium. RNAcentral describes it as "partial 16S ribosomal RNA". It matches the Rfam family "Bacterial small subunit ribosomal RNA", at positions 28 to 507 of the family's 1533-position model. The record is from RNAcentral.